This is a long non-coding RNA of Equus caballus (horse), 2225 nucleotides long. RefSeq lists it as uncharacterized. The record is from RefSeq and is a predicted model, not a curated record. NCBI's taxonomy places the organism in Eukaryota, Metazoa, Chordata, Mammalia, Perissodactyla, Equidae.
UUCGUUUUGUUUGCUUUCCACUUGCAAAGAGGCUCUCGCUUAAGGCUCUGAAAGUUGAACCACAUUCUGCGUUCCAUCUUGCCCGCCCUCGUACAAAAGCCCUGCGUUCACAGCUCUGUGGAGUGGAGGUCGGAGCGCGGAAGGACUGAGGCUGCUGGCGCUUUCGUGCUAAGAGUGUGCAGACUUCAGGCUACAGGGGAGUCAGCAUUUCUCGCAGGGUCUCGAGACUCCUUCCUUGGCUGUUAGCAUUGUUUUAGUUUGUCUGGUUUGAACCAAAGCCAGCUGAAUCUCCUCCAAGUUCCAGUUUUGGUCAGAUCUCAGGAGACAGCCUGUCUGGUUGUUCAGACAACAAAUAUCUGCCUGAAUUUCCACCCCAACCUGGAGUCAUGGCAGAUCACUGAUACCCUGUGACCCCACCAAGGGUCCGCAUUUGUGGUGGAGGGAGGGUAACAACAUUAAGCGCUGUAAUCAACACAUCUGAGGUUACUGAAGCCUAAAUAAGAAAUCCAACAAGCAGACAGGGAGGCUACAGAGCCAGUUUCGCUCUUGCACAAUCAGUAUCUCCUGCCAGGCAUCCAUGCAUCUUCAAUUUUUCCUGUAUCUACUCAUGGACGUCUCCUUUCAUGGGCUCAAAGCACUUUUGAUUGCCUGCCAGUAAUUAACGAGCAUAUAAUGGACCUGACCCUGAUCAGUUACCUGAAAAGAUAGGAGAGAACCAGAAGAGAGGUCUCCACUCGCAAGGAGUUAUAAUCCAGAGGUGGAGAUAAAAAAAAAUGGAACAACAUUAAAAAUGGCAUGGAGAUAUGGGAUUAUUGUACAGUACACAUCUUCGGGGCUUCUGGAUCAAUAGUUACGUCUGUAAAUGGGUGAGAUCCUCUUCAGAUUGGCCUUUACAGGCUGUCCGUGAAGGGGGCAGAGGUGCGGCGGGAUUUGAUCUGGUGCUUUAAAUAAGCUACUUUUAAAACAUUUUGGAAUUGAAUUAAAAUUAUUUCAAAUAUUUUUCAUUUAAUUACAGUCUGACUUUUUAAUUUAGUGAAAAAUUCCUCAUCAAAUUUAUGUUCAAAUGUGUAAGAAUAUGUAUAUUUUAACGUAGCCUUUUCUCUUCUCUUUCUUCUUACAUCUAUCUGUCUACAUACAUAUAUCUCUCUUCCUGUUUUUUCUACCAGGAAACUCUGAGCAAAUUUUAAUGCUAAUGCUAAUCUACAAAUGCUCAUAUAACUGAAGUAUCUGGUAAUUAAUAUUAUAAACAACUUAGUAAAGAGGCAGGUAGGUAUAAUAGAAAGAGCCUGGGCAUCGGAGAAACGAGCAUGAGUUUGAAUCUGCUCCUUUCUCAUUAUGGGAACUUAGAAAAGAAUAACAAUCCUUAUCUCAUGAGUGCUUUAUAAGGAAAAAAUUUGGGUACAUGCAGUGCCUAGCACAGUGUGACAUGUGCUAUUUUAAGCUGCCUGGUACACUUUUGGGAAUUAGGUAUAAGUCAUUAAAAACCAUGAUAACUUAACUCUCUGUUUUUAAAAUUUCCUCCUAAGUGUUUAUGAGUUAACUGUACCAUCUUUAAGGAUGAAAUCCUGCUCUCAGGCCUUAUCAGGAGACUCGUGAUAACCAGAGACCUGCAACGGGACAGUUUACUCAAAGUUGGAGAUGCAAUCACCAACCCCCUGAACCAGACCAAGAGGCGCCCUGGCAGAUGAGCCAACUGGCCUGUUCAAGUGAAUACCCACCUCUCCCUUUGAAUAUUCAUUCCCCAUCCAAAAUGAGAAGCCCCUGCUGGCCCGUGCUCAUGCUCGGGGAGCCACGACUUUGGAAAUGAUUCCACUACAUAGCCUCCUAUUUACUGCAAAUAAACUCUACUUUGUGUGACAAGGGGUUCUGGUGGAGAGGCUGAUUUUAACUCUCCAGGAAGUGAACCUACUUUUGUUCAGUAAUGAAAUCAACUCAAAUAGAGACUCUGGAAUCCCUGUGGAGAGACAGUGUGGUGUGGUGGAAUGCUCACAGACUUGACACUUAGCUGGUCCAAAUUUCUGGUCAGCCACUGAUAGUUCUGUGUCCCUGGGCAAGGCAUGUGACCUUUUGAAACCUCCACUUCAUCAUGGCAAAAUUGGUAAAGUAAUACCUACCUAGCCUGGAAGAUUAGAGAUGACUCAUGAAAGUUCAUGACAUAAUACCCUGUCCACAUGGUCUAAUAAAUAGUUUAUUUUAUUUUUUUUGGUGAGUGAGAUUGGCCCUGA